AGAGUUUGAUUCUGGCUCAGAUUGAACGCUGGCGGUAUGCUUAACACAUGCAAGUCGAACGGUAACAUAGAGAGCUUGCUCUCUGAUGACGAGUGGCGGACGGGUGAGUAAUGCAUAGGAAUCUGCCUAUUAGUGGGGGACAACAGUCGGAAACGACUGCUAAUACCGCAUACGCCCUACGGGGGAAAGCGGGGGAUCUUCGGACCUCGCGCUAAUAGAUGAGCCUAUGUUAGAUUAGCUAGUUGGUGAGGUAAGGGCUCACCAAGGCGACGAUCUAUAGCUGGUCUGAGAGGAUGAUCAGCCACGCUGGGACUGAGACACGGCCCAGACUCCUACGGGAGGCAGCAGUGGGGAAUAUUGGACAAUGGGCGAAAGCCUGAUCCAGCAAUACCGCGUGUGUGAAGAAGGCCUGAGGGUUGUAAAGCACUUUCAAUUGGGAGGAAAACAGGCAGGUCAAUACCCUGUCUCUUGACAUUACCUUUAGAAGAAGCACCGGCUAACUCCGUGCCAGCAGCCGCGGUAAUACGGAGGGUGCAAGCGUUAAUCGGAAUUACUGGGCGUAAAGCGUGCGUAGGCGGUUAUUUAAGUCAGAUGUGAAAGCCCCGGGCUUAACCUGGGAACUGCAUUUGAUACUGGAUAACUAGAGUUGAGUAGAGGGGAGUGGAAUUUCAGGUGUAGCGGUGAAAUGCGUAGAGAUCUGAAGGAACACCAGUGGCGAAGGCGACUCCCUGGACUCAAACUGACGCUGAGGUACGAAAGCGUGGGUAGCAAACGGGAUUAGAUACCCCGGUAGUCCACGCCGUAACGAUGUCAACUAACUGUUGGGUUCUUAUAGAACUUAGUGGUGGAGCUAACGUAUUAAGUUGACCGCCUGGGGAGUACGGCCGCAAGGCUAAAACUCAAAUGAAUUGACGG
Molecule: ribosomal RNA, 915 nt
Filed under: uncultured bacterium
Lineage: Bacteria
Description: bacterial SSU rRNA
Rfam family: Bacterial small subunit ribosomal RNA
Source: RNAcentral